Molecule: ribosomal RNA, 619 nt
Filed under: Athelia bombacina
Lineage: Eukaryota; Fungi; Basidiomycota; Agaricomycetes; Atheliales; Atheliaceae
Description: partial large subunit ribosomal RNA
Rfam family: Eukaryotic large subunit ribosomal RNA
Source: RNAcentral
AGCGGAGGAAAAGAAACUAACAAGGAUUCCCCUAGUAACUGCGAGUGAAGCGGGAAAAGCUCAAAUUUAAAAUCUGUUAGCCUUUGGUUGACCGAGUUGUAAUUUAGAGAAGCGUUAUCCGCGUUGGACUGUGUAUAAGUUUCCUGGAAGGGGACAUCAUAGAGGGUGAGAAUCCCGUCUUUGACACAGACUACCAAGGCUUUGUGAUGCGCUCUCGAAGAGUCGAGUUGUUUGGGAAUGCAGCUCAAAAUGGGAGGUAAAUUCCUUCUAAAGCUAAAUAUUGGCGAGAGACCGAUAGCGAACAAGUACCGUGAGGGAAAGAUGAAAAGAACUUUGGAAAGAGAGUUAAACAGUACGUGAAAUUGCUAAAAGGGAAACGCUUGAAGUCAGUCGCGUUGGCUGGAAAUCAACCUUGCUCUUGCUUGGUGUAUUUUCUAGUCGACGGGUCAACAUCAGUUUUGAUUGCUGGAUAAAGUGUGAGGGAAUGUGGCAUCUUCGGAUGUGUUAUAGCCCUUGCUCGUAUACAGCGGUUGGGACUGAGGAACUCAGCACGCCGCAAGGCCGGGUCUUCGGACUACGUUCGUGCUUAGGAUGUUGGCAUAAUGGCUUUAAUCGACCC